Vicugna pacos (alpaca) is the source of this 988-nucleotide non-coding RNA. Lineage: Eukaryota; Metazoa; Chordata; Mammalia; Artiodactyla; Camelidae. The record is from RefSeq and is a predicted model, not a curated record.
UCCUCGGACGGUUCCGGGCGCAGUUCGCCAACUACAGGCCGUGGGGCGCCCGGAACAUUUGUUGAACUCUGCCCACAUUCCGGGAUUCUGGCAGUGAGUUAGACUACCCAGGUCCCAGGCCCAAGCAGAACCUUGAGUAGGAAGUCUCCUUUUCCCAAGAAAAGAAGUAAGCAGGAUCCGUCCAUACAGGUUUUAUGAGAGAGAGAGUGAUGACUUCCAAGAGCCUCAACCAUGAAGGAUCACCAGAGAGGCUGUGUGUAAUCCAGACCGAGGCAGAAAAAGUAUUAUGAGGGAUCAAGGAGAAGUAGCAAAAGCAGCGUGAGACUGGACAGUAAAAAAGGAUAACGGUUCCCACCAGCAAUCCUGAUGUACAGACUUCCAUCAUUUGCACCCACAACCCUAGACUCUUAAAGAUGAAUUUCUCUCAAGAGCAAGCAGCUGUUUCGCCAAAGCUACAUUGAGUUUAUUUCUAUAGGAUAAGAUUAUUAUGUGAAGAGUCUCUCUCUCCCCAAAUUUCUGAUUCUUUCCCUCUUGUUUUAUUUUAUUGGCCACAGCAUCAAACCAAGUAAGCUUCUUCCAGCUCAACCCCAUUAUCUGCUUUGUCUAUCCAUGCACACUUAAAGUUGCUCUUAAGAGGAGCUAUAUUUUUCUGUGGGAACAGAUGAAAUAUAGUUUGUCAUGAGAAUCAGCGAGGACCAUCUGGAAUAGUUUCAGGGAGGACCAAAUAAAACCCAAUCAAAUAUGUUCGAGAAGCAAAAGAAGUUUAAUGUGGCAUUUUUAUCCACUAAUUUUAAAGGUUGAGUUGCCAGUGUUGAUAGGGGCCUAUCCUCUGAAUAUAAUCACACAAGUAUGCCAUAUAUAUUUGUAGGAGCAGGGUUUGUCAUCACAAAAGACUGGAAAUAACCUAAAUGUCUAUCAGUAGGGAACUCGUUAAAUAAAUCAGUUUACCCACAUAGUGGAUGGAUACUGUGCAGCUAAUGAAAAAAUA